RNAcentral lists this ribosomal RNA (253 nucleotides) under uncultured bacterium. Its description in RNAcentral is "partial 16S ribosomal RNA". It matches the Rfam family "Bacterial small subunit ribosomal RNA", at positions 524 to 776 of the family's 1533-position model. The record is from RNAcentral.
UACGUAGGGACCAAGCGUUGUUCGGAUUUAUUGGGCGUAAAGAGCUCGUAGGCGGCUUGUUGCGUCGACCGUGAAAACUUGGGGCUCAACCCCAAGCCUGCGGUCGAUACGGGCAGGCUCGAGUUCGGUAGGGGAGACUGGAAUUCCUGGUGUAGCGGUGAAAUGCGCAGAUAUCAGGAGGAACACCGGUGGCGAAGGCGGGUCUCUGGGCCGAAACUGACGCUGAGGAGCGAAAGCGUGGGGAGCAAACAGG